GGCUCUAUGGCCAAGUGGUAAGGCGUCGGUCUCGUAAACCGAAGAUCGCGGGUUCAAAUCCCGCUGGAGCCU
This is a non-coding RNA of Lineus longissimus, 72 nucleotides long. The record is from the annotation of a RefSeq genome assembly. NCBI's taxonomy places the organism in Eukaryota, Metazoa, Nemertea, Pilidiophora, Heteronemertea, Lineidae.